RNAcentral lists this ribosomal RNA (253 nucleotides) under uncultured bacterium. RNAcentral's name for it is "partial 16S ribosomal RNA". It matches the Rfam family "Bacterial small subunit ribosomal RNA", at positions 524 to 776 of the family's 1533-position model. The record is from RNAcentral.
UACGUAGGGUCCGAGCGUUGUCCGGAAUUACUGGGCGUAAAGAGCUCGUAGGCGGUUUGUCGCGUUGUUCGUGAAAACUCACAACUCAAUUGUGGGCGUGCGGGCGAUACGGGCAGACUGGAGUACUGCAGGGGAGACUGGAAUUCCUGGUGUAGCGGUGGAAUGCGCAGAUAUCAGGAGGAACACCGGUGGCGAAGGCGGGUCUCUGGGCAGUAACUGACGCUGAGGAGCGAAAGCGUGGGGAGCGAACAGG